Molecule: long non-coding RNA, 1254 nt
Organism: Helianthus annuus (common sunflower)
Lineage: Eukaryota; Viridiplantae; Streptophyta; Magnoliopsida; Asterales; Asteraceae
Exons: 8
Source: RefSeq, a predicted model, not a curated record
AGAUAUAUUGGGUUAUCUUAUCUUUUAUCUUAGAGGAUGUCUUUUGGUUCUUUGUAAACAGGAUGACGUGUCUCAUUGUUGUCUUCUUCUUUUGGCGGAAAUUUCAUAUAUGUUUAAAUUAAAUGGAAGUAUACCCAAAGGGAGGUGAAAUAUUUCAUCUUUGGCACUUUGCAAAACAAAAUAAGGCUUAUUCUACUGUCAGAACUCCGGAUUAUAUAGCUCUAGAGGUUCUGCUAAAAAAGGGUUAUGCACUGGAAUGUGAUUGGUGGUCUCUUGGUGCUAUUAUGUUUAAAAUGCUUGUGGGCUAUCCACCUUUCUACUUUGAUGAUCCAAUGUCAACUUGUAGGAAGGUAGCUUAUUUCGUACUAUCGUUAUUUGACAUGGAUUUUUUGUUUCAUACACAUGGCUGGUGCUAGUGUUCUUGAACCUGCAGAUAGUAAACUGGAAGAUGCAUUUAAAGUUCCCUGAAGAAGCAAGGCUUUCGUUAGAGGCAAAAGAUCUAAUUAGCAAACUGAUUUUUAAUGUCAACCAAUGGCUAGGAUCGAAAGGCGCAGAUGAAAUAAAGGCUCAUAUUUGGUUUAGAGGUAUAGAUUGGGAUAGGAUUUAUGUUAUGGAAGCCACAUUCAAUUCUGAAGUUAACGAUGACUGUGCGAUCGGGUUGUGACUGUGCGAUCGAGUUUGAUCUCGGAAGUGGAAGCUAUGAUGUAAUGUGCCAUUGCUCAUACAAUACAACUUUUGUUGGAAUUGUAUAGAAGAAGCUCAUCGCCCUGUGGACUGUGAAACCGUCUCCAAAUGGAUAAUGAAAAACAGCGCCGAGUCUGAAAAUAUGAAUUGGAUAUUUGCUAAUUCUAAGCCUUGUCCAAAGUGUAAACGUCCGAUCGAGAAGAACCAAGGUUGUAUGCACAUGACUUGCAACCCUCCUUGCAAAUACGAGUUUUGCUGGUUGUGUCUUGGUCAAUGGUCAGAUCACGGAGAGAGAACUGGUGGCUUUUAUGCUUGCAAUCGUUAUGCGUUAGUAAAGCAAUAGGGAGCGUAUGAUGUGUCUGAACGUCGACGAGAGAUGGCAAAGAACUCUCUAGAGCGAUACACUCACUAUUAUGAACGUUGGGCUACAAACCAAUCAGUAGGCACAAAUUGGUCGUCUCAUAUUCUUAAUCGUUGGACCACUUAGGGCAUGUAUUUGAAAGUUGGGCUACAAAUUGUUCUGCAAGUUGUAGAUUUAUAGCUAUUUAAAAUGAAUGCAUUUCUACCUUA